Molecule: long non-coding RNA, 523 nt
Organism: Drosophila montana
Lineage: Eukaryota; Metazoa; Arthropoda; Insecta; Diptera; Drosophilidae
Exons: 4
Source: RefSeq, a predicted model, not a curated record
ACUGCUUUUCGAUUCAACCAACCGUCACAUUUAAUUUCAAACUUAAACUUAAACAAGUUGCGAAUUAUAAUGGACAUUUGCUUCAAAUUGUGUAUAGUGCGUGCUUUUAGUGCUCCAUGGGGAAUCGCGCAGCAGGGCCCAAGACGCCGUCAGCGUUCUAGUCUCGGCCUCAACAAAAAGCGUUUGCACACACGCAUUCAAUUCGCCUGCCAUUCAGCGCGAAUUCUGCGACAGAGCCGGGUGACGGGCAGUGGCGGGCAGACAUAUCCACACACAAGCGGUGGCCCGCCAUAGACGAGCGUCUGCGAGAGCGACAGCGAUGGCUGAAGUGGGAAAUCAAAUGUUUGUAAUUAAAAUUAAAUAUUCUAUUAAAGGAUCAAAACUGCAAGGCUAAAAGGAUGCAGUCGGGCGGUAAAUAGCAAUCAAAGCGAAAUGUUAUAACAAAUGGACGUUGAUUAAAGAAAAUCUACGUUGACAACUACAGAGCCGUUGCCUUUGAGGGCAGUCAAUAUUUAAGAACUAG